AUUGCUUGCAAAGAAGAAUUCAAUUCGCUUAUCAUGAAGUUUAUGACAUGUGUCGUUAUCCUUGCUAUGCUAUUUUGCUUGAUGAAAGAGGCAGAUGCAAAGAAGAAGAAAUGGUGCGUUUGCUACAAUGGACUUUGCUACUGCAAUAAGCGUUCUCUGGAUAUGUUGAAGGAAGAUGGAAAUGACCUUGUGGAAAAAAUGACAGAGGCGGACUUCGCUAAGAGAUUAUUGAGAGCUGGGAUGAAGUAAUUUGAAAUCAGAAGUGACUGAAAGACGUUUAAUCGAAACAAAAGAAGAAGUGGAAAAACAUUGGUGUCUUGAAAAUUAAUAAAUCUUAACUGAUUGCAUUUUA
This is a long non-coding RNA of Saccostrea cuccullata (small rock oyster), 352 nucleotides long. RefSeq lists it as uncharacterized. The record is from RefSeq and is a predicted model, not a curated record. The transcript is spliced from 5 exons. NCBI's taxonomy places the organism in Eukaryota, Metazoa, Mollusca, Bivalvia, Ostreida, Ostreidae.